Molecule: long non-coding RNA, 589 nt
Filed under: Penaeus japonicus
Lineage: Eukaryota; Metazoa; Arthropoda; Malacostraca; Decapoda; Penaeidae
Description: uncharacterized LOC122263460
Source: RNAcentral
AACGUGACAGCACAGCAGACGAACUUCAGAGCGCGCAUAUCAUAAUGGUUGGGAAGUCAUAUCCAUGUGUUGUAUGCAAAAGGCGAUAAGAUACACAUACUUCACAUCAUUUUCGUAGAUUUCCAAAAGACAAAGAAAGGUGUCUGUUAUGGCUAAAUAUAUUGCAUAUCCCAAGCCUCCACGAAAAAAGCCACAUUCAGCUGAAUAGAAGCUUCCGCGUGUGCAGUCACCAUUUCUCUGCCUCUCAAUAUUGCAACACCUCAUCAGCUAAACUAUUAAGCACUGCUUGCCCUGACCAAAAUUUAGAAGGAAUUGGUUCAUUGGGAGAGGCUGGCCAGUCUGCAAUUGCUAAUGAGGACAAAUUAGAUGGUAUAGUAAUUUUAUUGCUUUUAUGUGACAUUAUAAAUAAAAUGAUGAUAUAAUUUGCACUAUAAUAGUAACUGAUAAAUGUUAUUGAUUUUGCAUAAUACAUCCACAGGUGUUUAAUAUUAAUUAGUCUCAAGUAUUUGUAUCUGUUCAUUUGCUACCAAAUCCCCAAGUUCUGGUUAAAAUUUAGAAGAGGGAUCUGAGAGGCUCUGCCCCAACAUGU